GAAAGUGAAAGACGAUCAGCAAAACCGAGUCAGUCUUGGUCGGGCUUUCAAUAUAUGGAGACAAUUACGGGAUUGUAAAUGAUUCAAAAACGUCCCAGAAUUGGCCCUCAAGUAUAUAACAUGUCUAUUUCAC
Etheostoma spectabile (orangethroat darter) is the source of this 133-nucleotide long non-coding RNA. RefSeq lists it as uncharacterized. The transcript is spliced from 3 exons. The record is from RefSeq and is a predicted model, not a curated record. Lineage: Eukaryota; Metazoa; Chordata; Actinopteri; Perciformes; Percidae.